This 390-nucleotide ribosomal RNA is filed under the name uncultured organism. Its description in RNAcentral is "bacterial SSU rRNA". It matches the Rfam family "Bacterial small subunit ribosomal RNA", at positions 45 to 433 of the family's 1533-position model. The record is from RNAcentral.
UGGAUUAGGCAUGCAAGUCGAACGAAUCCCCAGGGGCUUGCUCCUGGGGGGAAGUGGCGAAAGGGGCAGUAAGGCAUAGGUAACCUACCCCGCGGUCGGGAAUAGCCGUCCUAACGGACGGGUAAUACCCGAUAGCCUCGCCGUGCGGCAUCGCGUGGCGAGUAAAGAAUUUCGCCGUGGGAGGGGCCUAUGUAGUAUUAGCUAGUUGGUGGGGUAACGGCCCACCAAGGCGAAGAUGCUUAGCGGGUGUGAGAGCACGACCCGCGCCACUGGCACUGUGACACUGGCCAGACACCUACGGGUGGCUGCAGUCGAGGAUCUUCGGCAAUGGGCGAAAGCCUGACCGAGCGACGCCGCGUGUGCGACGAAGGCCUUCGGGUUGUAAAGCAC